This 652-nucleotide ribosomal RNA is filed under the name uncultured Actinomycetes bacterium. Its description in RNAcentral is "bacterial SSU rRNA". It matches the Rfam family "Bacterial small subunit ribosomal RNA", at positions 232 to 885 of the family's 1533-position model. Lineage: Bacteria; Bacillati; Actinomycetota; Actinomycetes. The record is from RNAcentral.
CGCGGCCUAUCAGCUUGUUGGUGGGGUAAUGGCCUACCAAGGCUUUGACGGGUAGCCGGCCUGAGAGGGUGACCGGCCACACUGGGACUGAGACACGGCCCAGACUCCUACGGGAGGCAGCAGUGGGGAAUAUUGGACAAUGGGCGGGAGCCUGAUCCAGCAACGCCGCGUGAGGGAUGACGGCCUUCGGGUUGUAAACCUCUUUCAGCACAGACGAAGCGCCCUGUCGGGUGGUGACGGUAUGUGCAGAAGAAGCACCGGCCAACUACGUGCCAGCAGCCGCGGUAAUACGUAGGGUGCGAGCGUUGUCCGGAAUUAUUGGGCGUAAAGGGCUCGUAGGCGGUUUGUCGCGUCGGGAGUGAAAUCCACUGGCUUAACUGGUGGCUUGCUUUCGAUACGGGCAGACUGGAGGCAUGCAGGGGAGAACGGAAUUCCUGGUGUAGCGGUGAAAUGCGCAGAUAUCAGGAGGAACACCGGUGGCGAAGGCGGUUCUCUGGGCAUGUCCUGACGCUGAGGAGCGAAAGUGUGGGGAGCGAACAGGAUUAGAUACCCUGGUAGUCCACACCGUAAACGUUGGGCGCUAGGUGUGGGAUCCAUUCCACGGGUUCCGUGCCGCAGCUAACGCAUUAAGCGCCCCGCCUGGGGAGUACGG